AUGGGAAAUAAGCAAGACGAACUCCAACUCCUAGCACAGCACCACACAUACGAUGUCAUAGGCAUCACUGAAACCUGGUGGGAUGACUCCCAUCACUGGAAUUUAACCAUUGAGGGCUAUAACCUCUUUCACAUAAAUAGAACAAAGGGGAGAGGAGGGGGAGUAGCUUUAUAUGUCAAAAACAGUUACGUUGCAGAAGAAAUGCAAGACUGUAAUCCGGGAAACCAGCUUGAAAGCAUCUGGAUAAGAAUCAAGGGAACCGGGACUCAAAAAGAUCUUGUCGUGGGUGUCUACUACAGACCUCCGAGUCAGGAUGAAGGACUUGAUGAAGCCUUCUGUCAACAGCUGACCAAACAGGCACAAAGAAGAGAUAUAGUAGUCAUGGGCGAUUUCAAUUAUCCCGAUAUCUGCUGGAAAACAAACUCAGCCAAGAGUACAAAGUCCAACAAAUUCCUCACUUGCCUUGCAGAUAAUUUUAUGGUCCAGAAGGUAGAAGAGGCAACAAGGGGAUCAGCAACUCUUGAUCUAAUCUUAACAAAUGUGGAAGACCUGAUCAAUACAGUUGAAGUGGUUGGAUCCUUAGGGGCAAGUGACCAUGUGCUCCUGCAGUUUGCAAUACAAAGGAAUGCUGAAACUAAGACAAGUCAAACACGCAUUCUGGACUUUAAGAGAGCUGACUUCCAAAAAAUGAAGGAAUUACUGAGCGGCAUUCCAUGGACGCCGAUAUUAAAAAACAAGGGAGUUAAGGAUGGAUGGGAGUUUUUCAAAAGAGAAAUACUCAAGGCGCAAAUGCAAACAGUGCCAACAAAGAAGAAAAAUAAGACAAGUGCAAAGAAGCCAGAAUGGAUGUCCAAAGAACUUCUAACUGAGCUAAAGCUCAAAAGUGACAUGCACAAGAAGUGGAAAAGGGGAGAAAUCACCAAAGAAGAAUUCAAACGUAUAGCCAACUCCUGUAGGGAAAAGGUUCGCAAGGCUAAAGCGCAAAAUGAGCUCAGGCUUGCCAGGGACAUAAAAAACAACAAAAAAGGUUUUUUUGCUUAUGUUGGUAGAAAAAGGAAGAAAAAGGAGGCGAUAGGGCCACUGCAAGGAGUAGAUGGGGUGAUGGUGACAGGGGAUAGGGAAAAGGCAGAACUGCUUAAUGCCUUCUUUGCCUCGGUCUUCUCACAAAAAGAAAGCCAUCUUCAACCUCAGCAACAUGGAAUGGACGAAGGAUUGGGGGAAAUCCAACCCCAAAUAGGGAAACAAGUUGUCCAGGAACACCUGGCCACUCUAAACGAAUUCAAGUCCCCAGGGCCAGAUCAGCUACAUCCAAGAGUAUUGAAGGAACUAGCGGAAGUUAUUUCAGAACCACUGGCAAUCAUCUUCGAGAGUUCUUGGAGAACAGGAGAAGUCCCAGCAGAUUGGAGGAGGGCGAAAUAUGAUUGCCAGUGGUUCUGAAAUAACUUCCGCUAGUUCCUUCAGUACUCUUGGAUGUAGCUGAUCUGGCCCUGGGGACUUGAAUUCGUUUAGAGCGGCCAGGUGUUCCUGGACAACUUGUUUCCCUAUUUGGGGUUGGAUUUCCCCUAAUCGUUCGUCCAUUUCAUGUUGCUGAGGUUGAAGAUGGCUUUCUUUUUGUGAGAAGACUGAGGCAAAGAAGGCAUUAAGCAGUUCUGCCUUUUCCCUGUCGCCAUCACCCCAUCUUCUCCUUGCAGUGGCCCUAUCGCCUCCUUGUUCUUCCUCUUUCUACCAACGUAAGCAAAAAAACCUUUUUUGUUGUAUUUAAUGUCCCUGGCAAGCCUGAGCUCAUUUUGCGCUUUAGCCUUGUGAACCUUUUCCCUACAGGAGUUGGCUAUACAUUUGAAUUCUCCUUUGGUGAUUUCUCCCCUUUUCCAUUUCUUGUGCAUGUCUCUUUUGAAUCUUAGCCCAGUUAGAAGUUCUUUGGACAUCCAUUCUGGCUUCUUCGCACUUGUCAUAUUUUUUUAAAUGUUUUUAAGGAGAUUUUAUUUACAGAAAGAAAGAAAAAUCCCAAAAAUUCUGGGAUGACCCAAACCUUGUAAGGUUUGGAGAACUAAAAGUGGUAGAUAUGUCCUCCAUGUGUGGUGAUUUUUACCCCUCUAACCCUAUAGGAGCCCCGGUGGCGAAGUGUGUUAAAGCACUGAGCUGCUGAACUUGCAGACCGAAAGGUCGCAGGUUCAAAUCCCAGGAGCGGAGUGAGCACCCACUCUUAGCUCCAGCUUCUGCCAACCUAGCAGUUCGAAAAAUGCAAAUGUGAGUAGAUCAAUAGGUACCGCUCUGGCAGGAAGGUAACAGCACUCCAUGCAGUCAUGCCGGCCACAUGACCUUGGAGGUGUCUAUGGACAACGCUGGCUCUUUGGCUUAGGAAUGGAGAUGAGCACCAACCCCCAGAGUCAGACAUGACUGGACUUAACGUCAGGGGAAACCUUUACCUUUACCUUUAACCCUAAAACUGAGUGGAAAGGGAUCCUGGGCAGCACUCCCAUUGCUACCAAUGGAAUGAAUGCAUUUGUAUAUUUGGAUGGUGAAGCAAAAGAGCUCAUUCGGAUUGGCCUCAGUUUCUGAAGUGGCUGACGGAUACGGAAAUGGGGCCAUAUGAAUGGGACAAACAGAAAUGGGUCACGAUUUUAUACAAAUGCACAAGACUACAGUCUAUAUGUGCCCGUGAUUUCUAGACUAUUUCAAGAUCAUUGCAGUCUUAUGAACACUAUCAAUGGCUGUGUAUUCUGCAUUCCACGUGUUCCAACUUGGGAACACAUGGAAGCAAAAUAUCUGGGGAAUUGAUAGGCAAACAAAGAAAAACAAAGACCAAGAGCAACUGCAAUAGCAGAAGCUUCCCAGUAAGACCCUUUUUUUCCUUCUCCUUAGGAGGCUGGAAAAGUCAACUGGAGUACAGUUAAAUGAGAGCUAUUUGGUGAACUCUGUUUGUGCUGAUUGGAGGGAGCAGCUGGGCGCUUUUCACAGUACAAGGGAUGCUAAUGGUCGAGGAAAGAAAUUAGUCCCACUACUUUAAAGUUUGAAUGUUUUAUUGAGCUGAGAAAUCAGGGCUUAUUCCUACAUUAAUUCCUAUUGAUGACAGAUCAGAUCUUCCUUUGUACUCCUCUUAAAAGGCCAACCAUCCAGUUAAGCUGUCCCUCUAGGUUUUCCUCAGGAUUGUGCUGAGUUGCAAAGUUUCCAUAAAUUUAUCUGAUUUUGCAUUUGAAUUAUGAAAUGAAGGGAAGAGGAAGGCAGAUAACCAAGCUAAAGUGUCCCUCCACUAACCUUCCUGACAGAGACCCUAUGUACAGUUUCCAGCAUGAAUGAUACAAUAUGGAGAAAUUAAUGGAUCAGAAAAUGUGUAGACCAUGUGCUGUAAACAAACAGUCAGUUUCAAACCCACUUCAAGCACAGAUAGUUGUUUAAUUCCUUUUUCAAGUAGCAAUGGUACAAUUGAGUUAUAUUACAAUUGUUACUUAAGAAGAGAUAAGUUGGCCAUAAUGCCAUUUCACAUGGGUUAGUAGUAAAGUCAGUCUAGUCAUGUCCGACUCAUGAGGAGCUGGAGUUGACAAAGGGAGCUCACCCGCUCUCCACGGAUGCAAACUGCUGACCUGUUGAUCAGCAGUCCUGCUGGCAGAAGGGUUUAACCAUCAUUUCUUCAAGAGAAAAGGGGGAAAAAUUGAUUGGAGAAAAAUGAUUUUUAGAGAAAUUGGAAAAAACACCAUAAUUUAA
Molecule: long non-coding RNA, 3702 nt
Organism: Anolis carolinensis (green anole)
Lineage: Eukaryota; Metazoa; Chordata; Lepidosauria; Squamata; Anolidae
Source: Ensembl